RNAcentral lists this ribosomal RNA (480 nucleotides) under uncultured bacterium. Its description in RNAcentral is "partial 16S ribosomal RNA". It matches the Rfam family "Bacterial small subunit ribosomal RNA", at positions 28 to 507 of the family's 1533-position model. The record is from RNAcentral.
GACGAACGCUGGCGGCGUGCUUAACACAUGCAAGUCGAACGAUGAAGAAAAGAAUCGAAGCUUCGGCAGACAUUCAUUUCGGAUUAGUGGCAGACGGGUGAGUAACGCGUGAGCAACCUACCUCUUACAAAGGGAUAGCCUCGGGAAACCGGGAUUAAUACCAUAUAACAUUGUGACGAAGCAUUUCGAUGCAAUCAAAGCUACGGCGGUAAGAGAUGGGCUCGCGUCCCAUUAACCGGAUGGUGAGGUAACGGCUCACCAUAGUGACGAUGGGUAACCGGCCUGAGAGGGUGAACGGUCACACUGGAACUGAGACACGGUCCAGACUCCUACGGGAGGCAGCAGUGGGGAAUAUUGCACAAUGGAGGGAACUCUGAUGCAGCGACGCCGCGUGAGUGAUGAAGGAAUUCGUUUCGUAAAACUCUGUUCUAUGGGAAGAAAAGGACUGUACCAUAGGAGAAAGCUCCGGCUAAAUACGUG